This 269-nucleotide ribosomal RNA is filed under the name uncultured prokaryote. RNAcentral's name for it is "partial 16S ribosomal RNA". It matches the Rfam family "Bacterial small subunit ribosomal RNA", at positions 524 to 792 of the family's 1533-position model. The record is from RNAcentral.
UACGGAGGAUGCAAGCGUUAUCCGGAUUUAUUGGGUUUAAAGGGUGCGUAGGCGGGAAAAUAAGUCAGUGGUGAAAUCCUACAGCUUAACUGUAGAAUUGCCGUUGAUACUGUUUUCUUGAGUAUGGUCAAGGAAGGCGGAAUGUGUAAUGUAGCGGUGAAAUGCUUAGAUAUUACACAGAACACCAAUUGCGAAGGCAGCUUUCUGGCCCAUUACUGACGCUGAGGCACGAAAGCGUGGGGAGUCAAACAGGAUUAGAUACCCUGGUA